Molecule: ribosomal RNA, 200 nt
Filed under: uncultured bacterium
Lineage: Bacteria
Description: partial 16S ribosomal RNA
Rfam family: Bacterial small subunit ribosomal RNA
Source: RNAcentral
AACGAACGCUGGCGGCAGGCUUAACACAUGCAAGUCGAACGCCCCGCAAGGGGAGUGGCAGACGGGUGAGUAACGCGUGGGAAUCUACCGUACCCCUACGGAAUAACGGCAUGGAAACGUGUGCUAAUACCGUAUACGCCCUACGGGGGAAAGAUUUAUCGGGGUAUGAUGAGCCCGCGUUGGAUUAGCUAGUUGGUGGG